AUACGGAGGGUGCAAGCGUUACUCGGAAUCACUGGGCGUAAAGCGCGCGCAGGCGGCUAUUUAAGUUGGAUGUGAAAGCCUACGGCUCAACCGUAGAACUGCAUCCAAAACUAUUUAGCUAGAGUGUGGGAGAGGAAGAUGGAAUUAGUUGUGUAGGGGUAAAAUCCGUAGAGAUAACUAGGAAUACCAAAAGCGAAGGCAAUCUUCUGGAACACUACUGACGCUGAGGCGCGAAAGCGUGGGGAGCAAACAGGAUUAGAAACACUAGUAGUCC
This 274-nucleotide ribosomal RNA is filed under the name uncultured bacterium. Its description in RNAcentral is "partial 16S ribosomal RNA". It matches the Rfam family "Bacterial small subunit ribosomal RNA", at positions 523 to 796 of the family's 1533-position model. The record is from RNAcentral.